This 208-nucleotide ribosomal RNA is filed under the name uncultured bacterium. RNAcentral's name for it is "partial 16S ribosomal RNA". It matches the Rfam family "Bacterial small subunit ribosomal RNA", at positions 524 to 730 of the family's 1533-position model. The record is from RNAcentral.
UACGGGGGGAGCAAGCGUUGUUCGGAUUUACUGGGCGUAAAGAGCUCGUAGGUGGUUUGUCGCGUUGUUCGUGAAAACUCACGGCUUAACUGUGAGCGUGCGGGCGAUACGGGCAGACUAGAGUACUGCAGGGGAGACUGGAAUUCCUGGUGUAGCGGUGGAAUGCGCAGAUAUCAGGAGGAACACCGAGUGGCGAAGGCGGAUCUCU